AAACUCAAAGGAAUUGACGGGGACCCGCACAAGCGGUGGAGCAUGUGGUUUAAUUCGAAGCAACGCGAAGAACCUUACCAAAUCUUGACAUCCUUUGACCGCUCUAGAGAUAGAGUUUUCCCCUUCGGGGGACAAAGUGACAGGUGGUGCAUGGUUGUCGUCAGCUCGUGUCGUGAGAUGUUGGGUUAAGUCCCGCAACGAGCGCAACCCUUAAGCUUAGUUGCCAUCAUUAAGUUGGGCACUCUAAGUUGACUGCCGGUGACAAACCGGAGGAAGGUGGGGAUGACGUCAAAUCAUCAUGCCCCUUAUGAUUUGGGCUACACACGUGCUACAAUGGACAAUACAAAGGGCAGCUAAACCGCGAGGUCAAGCAAAUCCCAUAAAGUUGUUCUCAGUUCGGAUUGUAGUCUGCAACUCGACUACAUGAAGCUGGAAUCGCUAGUAAUCGUAGAUCAGCAUGCUACGGUGAAUACGUUCCCGGGUCUUGUACACACCGCCCGUCACACCACGAGAGUUUGUAACACCCGAAGCCGGUGGAGUAACCAUUUAUGGAGCUAGCCGUCGAAGGGGA
This 571-nucleotide ribosomal RNA is filed under the name Staphylococcus pasteuri. RNAcentral describes it as "bacterial SSU rRNA". It matches the Rfam family "Bacterial small subunit ribosomal RNA", at positions 897 to 1465 of the family's 1533-position model. Lineage: Bacteria; Bacillati; Bacillota; Bacilli; Caryophanales; Staphylococcaceae. The record is from RNAcentral.